Phyllostomus hastatus (greater spear-nosed bat) is the source of this 699-nucleotide long non-coding RNA. RefSeq lists it as uncharacterized. NCBI's taxonomy places the organism in Eukaryota, Metazoa, Chordata, Mammalia, Chiroptera, Phyllostomidae. The record is from RefSeq and is a predicted model, not a curated record. The transcript is spliced from 4 exons.
CUGCGUUUCCCUUGCCUGCUCGCGGACCGACCCCAGUCCCCUUUUCUCCUCUCCCCCGUCCUUUAAAAACCUCCCACGUGGCGUGCCCAUGGGGUGGUUGAAAACACACGCUCCUCUGGGUUAAAGUCAGAUGGAAAGCAGAGGCCGGAUCUGUGUGCUGGUUUGUGAAUUCAAACCCUCUGACACAGGAAGGGACCCUCCCUGGCUGUGGAUACCAGGCAGGGUAACACGCCUGAAGACUAAGUAAGGACACGCAGGGCUCGAAUGCUAGGCCUCUUCCCCCCCGGGCCGAGUGGACUGAGAUGGCUGAAGAGGAUGGGCUGAUCAACAACAUCAAUAAGUUGGCGCAGCCUGACCAAGAGGCGAUCCUGCCCCUGCAGGCCAGGCCUGCGGGCCACUGUCCCUGAGAAGAGGACCAUCAGGCAGAUGGCUAUGCCGUGCAUGGUGCCGGGACGGGGUCUCGCAGGCGCCGGGAGAGCCAGACCUCGGGCUGCCCUUCCACCUCGACCUGACUGUGAGCAGGCUGCCAGCAGGGCUGCGUAUUUAUUCAUCCUUCAGGAGAGCUAACGCCCUCCCAUCGCCGCCUGGAAAUCUUCGUCGAGUGGAUGAAGAUGGAAUUCCACGCAAGCGGAAAGUUGUGCAGGCGGCCCCUUAGCAUCCGCACCGGCGGAGAGCACCUCGCGGGAGAGCACCUCGCGG